Molecule: long non-coding RNA, 1382 nt
Organism: Dermacentor andersoni
Lineage: Eukaryota; Metazoa; Arthropoda; Arachnida; Ixodida; Ixodidae
Source: RefSeq, a predicted model, not a curated record
ACGGAAGGAAGCAAUUACUUCACCAUAUCCCAGAGCAGCACAGGGGCCGUGAGAGACAGCAUGGCAGAUAGCUCUGGAACGGCUCUCUGACGUGCACCAAAUACUCGGCAUAAACAAGCGCUUUUCCAUUCCAUCGAAAUGCGACUGCCUCGGCCUCGAAUCGAACCUUCAAGCAAAGCGCUCUAAAAGUACACGGUGGGAAGACAAAAUUGAAAUGCAUUGGUUCCGGUGUUUUCAAUGCUUCGUUUUAUUUGUUCCUCCCUUUCGUAGUAACGAUAUAGAACACGCUCGUAAUACACAAACAAUCCGCAGGCCAUCAGCUGCGACGGAAAGGCCGGGAAACAAUUGUUGUAUCACACGGAGACAUGCACCGUACGUACGCAUCAUACAGCUGCGAGGAGCCCAUGUAGGUUUUCAUUUUCCCCUUCUCCAAAUAAAGUAUUUUUUUCCUUCAUUCUUGGGGGGGUUCUACCACCUCGCUCUGAAUGUACUGCUGUUAUUAUUUCUUUACAUUUGCUAGUCGUUCGCUCCGAAGAACCGGCCAUGUAGCACGACACUCUGCUGCGUAGCACCUAGCCGGCCUCCGUCACUAGAGGGCACGAACUGUUUUAACUGCGCACCCACCGUCGCAGCACAAGCGUCGGCGAGCCGCCGGCUGUUGCAAUCGACUGCGUGCGCGUGAUGCCCGCGGCAGCGUUGCCGGAUGCGAAGGACGUGCGCCGGCUGCAAUCGACGCAGCCCGAUAGCGCAGCCCGCGACUGGGCCCACACAGCGGCGAUAGUGUUUGCACGUGGUGAGCGCUCGACGUCUCCGUACAAAAGACUCGCGCCAUUCUGCACCCAUGAAUGGCGACCGCGGCGGAAUCUGUGACGUUUGCUCGCGGCGACGUGGGCUGGGCGGCACACGCAGCGUAUGGCCACGAAACUGCCGUUUCCUGCAUCAAAUAAUUGUGCUGGCCGACCAAUGCACUGGCAUUGUCACACACAUGGCCGGCUAUGUUUUCAAUAAGGAUGCAUGUACCUCUGCGUGAAGCAGUUUUCAACCGUUAGUGCAGGAGCCUCGACAGAACGGCGCCCAAGGAACCCCUUUCGAAGAGCUGAGUCACUUUUCGGUUGAAAAGUGCCGCACAGCACAGCAGAGGAGCUUAGUGCUGGAAAUGUCGGCACACCUUGAUCGAGUGAGAACUUUCUCGGCAUUGCUGGAGCUGGUCAGCCUCGGUCUUUGCCAACGAUCGCUGCGCAUUUUUUUUUCUUCUUUUUUUUUUGUGCGCGGUGCAACUGCACUUUCUUUGCGGUUGUCGAGUCCGGAAAGACUUCCUGCGAAAGUUCUUUUUCAGAUGCUUGAACGCUCAAAAUACUGGGAAUAAAGGCUAAUCACCCUGC